CCUACGAGAGGCAGCAGUAGGGAAUCUUCCACAAUGGGCGCAAUCCUGAUGGAGCAACACCGCGUGAGUGAAGAAGGUUUUCGGCUCGUAAAGCUCUAUUGUUGGGGAAGACCGUUCGUGAGAGUAACUGUUCACGCAAUGACGGUAUCCAACCAGAAAGUCACGGCUAACUACGUGCCAGCAGCCGCGGUAAUACGUAGGUGGCAAGCGUUAUCCGGAGUUAUUGGCCGUAAAGCGAGCGCAGGCGGGUGUUUAGGUCUGAUGUGAAAGCCUUCGGCUUAACCGAAGAAGUGCAUCGGAAAUCGGGCGACUUGAGUGCAGAAGAGGACAGUGGAACUCCAUGUGUAGCGGUGGAAUGCGUAGAUAUAUGGAAGAACACCAGUGGCGAAGGCGGAUGUCGGGUCUUCAACUGACGCUGAGGCUCGAAAGCAUGGGUAGCGAACAGGAUUAGAUACCCCUGUAAUC
Molecule: ribosomal RNA, 465 nt
Filed under: uncultured bacterium
Lineage: Bacteria
Description: partial 16S ribosomal RNA
Rfam family: Bacterial small subunit ribosomal RNA
Source: RNAcentral